RNAcentral lists this unclassified non-coding RNA (979 nucleotides) under Hevea brasiliensis (rubber tree). Lineage: Eukaryota; Viridiplantae; Streptophyta; Magnoliopsida; Malpighiales; Euphorbiaceae. The record is from RNAcentral.
AAAUUACAGUAAAUAUUACUAUUCAUGUUGAGCACAAAUAGUUAUGUCAAAGAAUAGAUCUAUAUCUUAGCAUACAAGCUGAGGGGUGGGGGAGAGGGGAAGAAAACAGCAUUUUUCAGAACAAUGGUGUGUUUAAGAACAAUGGUAUGCACAGCUUCAUGUGCGGCUUGAACGGGGCUCUCCUGCAUUUCCAGAUAAAGAAAUUAUUUGGUUCACACAGUGACAUGCCGAACAGCUGACUUCUUAGCCCUGCUUUUCUCUCAUUAACUCGACAAAAUUGUCCAGGAUUAGUGGCCAAGCAAGGGUCGAGUCAUAAUUGCUCAAGUCUGGAAAACUUAUCUCGUUAACAAACCUAAAGAAUCCCAUCCAUUGAUCCAUGUUUAUAACCUUGUAAUCAACCUGCAUUCUCAAAUACUGAAUCAGAGCAUCAACUUGGGGCCGAAAUUGAGACCCUAAAACGAGAUCCAGCAGGAGACAAAUGCUCUCAAUGUCUAUGCUCUUCUGCUUCUCCUCUGUCAAGCAGUACUGAAAUGCAUAGGAGUAAAAAUCCACAAAAUUUGAUGGCCUUCUAACCUCCUUCUCAAGUUCUGGAAGUGCUUUUUUCAAUUUCUGUACUGUGUCAGCUCUUAAUGCUUUGAGGCCUUUCCGCCACUCGUUCAGGGAAAAGUAUCCUUGUUUUUCAGACUGCAUUUUCCAUGCAAGCAUCAAUAUCCUGACGUCAGUAUGUUCGACUUCCAAAUCAGAACAAAGAAACUCAAUUCCUUCAGGGUCAAUCAUACCAGACGAAGAACUUGCAUAUGUAUGAAAUAAUUGAUCGAUACGUUCUAGCUCCUUACUUGCUGCUUUACUUGAAGCAGAACGAAACAAAUCGGCGGCAGGAUUGGUGGAUGCUGCAGAACCAGUUGAACCCUUUUUGGAAGAAGUACGAGGCAUCUUAAGCGAAGAAGAAAAAGAAAAAAGUUGGUGUAGAGAAGAUGAU